Long non-coding RNA from Panicum virgatum (switchgrass), 5186 nucleotides. RefSeq lists it as uncharacterized. NCBI's taxonomy places the organism in Eukaryota, Viridiplantae, Streptophyta, Magnoliopsida, Poales, Poaceae. The transcript is spliced from 3 exons. The record is from RefSeq and is a predicted model, not a curated record.
CAGGGCCCACAGAAGUAAAAAAAAUUGCCCAAGCCAUUUCCUUGCCGCGACGGAUCCAGAAACUCCUCCUCCCGUUCCCCAAUCCUCUUUCUCUCCACUGGCGUAGUGAUACGAGGAUGCAAAUUGACCUCUCUUCUUCCAGAUCUUGCCUCCCUAGCCAGUCUCUUGCUCCGAUCUGGUGGCAUCUGAAGGAGACGGAGUUGGGGCAGGGCACGCCACGCCACGCGGAGGACGUCGGCGGUGCUGGAGAAUAGCGAUGGCGCAGGAGCGAAGAACAUCGCGCAGCGCCAUGGGGGAGUUGGGGCAGGGCACGCCACGCGGAGGACGUCGGCGGCGCGGGAGAGGUUGGCGAUGGCACUGGAGAACAUCGGCGCAGCGCCAUGGGGAUGUGGACUCGAAGGCUGCAAUUGAUGCAUGCGCCCGGGCGUGACGGUACCCAGAUCAUAUGCACGGGUGGUUGUGAGACGAGGCAAGCAGCAGCUAGAGCAGAUGACUUUGGUGCAUCGAUUUACUAGGCAAUAUCACAGGUAUUAAAUUUCUUUCUUGCUAUACAUAUUUCUCUGAUGUCCCGAGACAGUAAAGUUAGCAUGGAUAAAGCAAGGAUUAAUCUAGAGUAUAUUGGUAGUUAAAAAGAACAAUAUGUUUGGAUCUUGACACAACAAAACAUGGCAUGCUUGAGAUUUUAAACCUGAUACAUAUCAAAUGAUACAGACCGACAAUUAUAUAGAGUGCAUACAGAGCAGUACAUAUUUCUUAAAGAAAAACUAAAUUACUCUAGUCUUGACCCCUCCAAAGCGCUGAAAUAUAUGCUCAACCAAAUCCGCUUUAAGACGACGAUGCAUAUCUCUAUCCCUGAUAUCUUCUUCUAUCUCUAGAGCCCUGGAAAACCCAUGAAUUGGCCCAUGUCCAUAAUUUAACAAUGGUGUGGAGUUACCUUCAUCAUAGUCUUCCUCAUAGUCAUCAUUGUACCGAACUUUGAAAGUAUCUCUUUCAUCCUCUACAAUCGUGUUGUGUAAUAUAAUACAUGCGUACAUGAUCUCAGCAAAUGAUUCCACUUGCCACAUACGUGCUGGGCUGCGUAGUAUUUGUCGGGUACCAUAAUUAGGGGCACCCUAACCCAGGGACUAAAUCGCCCUAAAAAACGCAAAACACGGAUUGGGCAAUCAGGCCCACAGUGCCUACCGCCGUGUCAGACUCUACAGUCACAACGAACCAAGGCCAACAGUCCUCCUCCGAUCCGAAGGGAAAGAAGGACUACUCGACGGUGAUCCUGGAGAGGAAGAAGCCACCAACAACGACAACUCAGUCGUCGCUCUGCACCCGGAUAUCUUGGAGCUCCUCCAGCUCUCCCACAGCGCCCAGAUCCUCUCCAAGUCCCAAGGAAGCCCGAUCCGUACACGGCCCACGGCCUAGCUCCACGGUACGGCCCAUUCGAGGCCGCACUCGAACCCGCGGAACCAUCUCCGCCUCGCUCGAGGACACCCCGCCGAGGCCUCCAGCAACGCGCUCCAUCACCGCCUCGCUUGAGGGACCCUCGAGCCGAGCCCUCCGCGGGGCCUCGGCUCGAGGGGAAACUCCGCCUCGCUCGAGGCCACCCUCGGCAGUUGGAACUAGCAACCCAUCUGCUCACCUACCCGAUUGACAGAGGCAUUAAAUGCCAACCACUCCGCCGCGAAGCGUGGGAGUCAGACAGUGUCAGGCCGCCGUGUCGCACGGCGGGUGUGACCGGAGUCCCGUCUGCCAACUCCGUCACUGUGCCGCCAUCCCCGACACUGUUCCGACCCUGUGGGAACCUGCGACGCCCUGUGCAGACGUGCCCCGCACUGCUCUCGCCACUGUGCUACCAACUCCCCGUACUUCCUCUUCCACGCAACCCUCGGCCAGCAUGGGUGCAACCCUCGAACGGUGUACGGACCUUGACCGGGGCGAGACCCCGUCAGCUGAACCCUCGGCGCUCCGCCAGCUCAAGCAUGGAGGACGGUACUUUCUACAGCAACCGCCACACCGCCCACAGGAGUCAUCGGGACGCCGGCGCGAUCCCCGCGAAGCUACAGAGCUUCUCAGGGCGACUGUCCCGCCCGACGCCAUACCCCACAGUGUACUUUCCAUAGUGCGCAUCCACUGCACACCCCCGAUUCGGGGAGAAGACGACGACUUCCGCGAUCUCCCCGUACAUGUACUCCGCCCCUCCUUGUGUCUAUAAAAGGAGGAGGCGGGCUCCUUCUUCCUUACGCAACCAGAGACGCUCUCAUCCCACACUCACCUAGCCAUCCGCUCACUCCCUUUCGAUAUUGGCACUUGCCUCAAUCACUUAGCAGAGACUUGGGAGCCUUCCUCCCUCUCUCGCCUCGCUUGUAUUCCCCUACUACAUGCACUCCGGUGCAAUAUAAUACAGUGCACUCGCACACCCCUGCUGGACGUACGGCCCCGUUGCCGGAACCAGGAUAAACCCUUGCGUAACUGUGUUACCUCUUGCAUCAACCAUCUAGGGUUGGGAUCAUGCAGCAUCUUCACUAGUUGGUGCUGGACCGCCGGGUCUGGACACUGACAGUAUUGCAAAGCAAGCUUGCAGCACACCAAAUGCACGCUCCACAUCUUUUCUUGCUCCCUCUUGCCUUUUUGCAAACAGUUUGUCUUUGUUGCAUUGAGGCAAAUGUAUUGUUUUUACAAAUGUUGCCCAUUCCGGAUAAAUACCAUUAGCUAGGUAGUAUCCCAUAUUGUAUUCAUUGCCAUUGACUGUAAAUUGAAUCUCUGGAGCUCUCCCUUGUACUACUUCAGUGAACAGAGGGGAUCUAUUCAGGACAUUGAUGUCAUUGUUUGACCCGGCAACACCGAAAAAUGCAUGCCAUAUCCAAAGGUCAUGUGAGGCAACAGCUUCCAACAUAACAGUGGGUCCAGCCUGAUCUCCACGAGUAUAUUGCCCCUUCCAUGCCACUGGACAGUUUCUCUAUUGCCAAUGCAUGCAAUCUACACUUCCUAACAUGCCUGGAAAACCACGAGCUGAGCCUAUAUGAAAUAACCUUUGGAUGUCUUGUCUAGUUGGUUUUCUUAGGUAUGUAGGACCAAAACACGACACCUCUACAAAAGGUAUUCAUGCACUCAAUAAUUGUGGUUUCAGCAAUUCGUAGAUUUUCAUUCCACAUAUCCGCAGGUGUUCCAUACGCUAACAUACGCAUGGCAACAGUGCAUUUGUGCAAGGGUGAAAAGCCCACCUUCCCAAAUGCAUCGUUCCUUUGGCAAAAAUAAGGAGACCAAGAACUAAGAGUCUGCACAAUGUGUAGAAAUAGAUGCCGCUUCAUCCUUUACCUCCGUCGAAACUGGAAAUCAUUGUAUACUGGAUUUUCUACAAAGUAAUCAGACAUCAAUCGAUCCCUAGCAGCUCCACGAUCUCUUUCUAUAUGUCUUCUACGAAACCUUCGGUACUGAGUAGACGUACCUCUCUGUUCUGCCUCAAUCUGAGCUCUGAUUUGUGUCUCAAUCUGAGCCUCAAUUGGGUCAUUCAUGAAGUCCCGAAAGAAUUGCUCAACUUCAGCAUCACUAUCAGAUUCUUCAGGGAUUUGCAGGGGCAUAUUUGUUUCCAUGGCCUUCUUUAUGGAGAAAUUGUUUACUGGCUGGUAGAGUAGGAAGCUCUCUACUGAUUUGAAUGAGCUGGGGUGGGUAUGGUGGCCUGAAGGGUCCUCCUUUUUAUAGAGGGAGCUCACAACGGCUAGUUUUUUUUUUCAACAGCUACAUUGUCAGAACAGUCUCUUUUAUUAUUAAAUGCUAACUUUACAACAGCUACAUUGUCAGAACAGUCUCUUUUAUUAUUAAAUGCUAACUACUAUGUGCCCUGAUGUAUAUUUUGUUUUCUGUAUAGGUCACUUUGAGAUAUGGGUAAAUAAUCAAGGCACGAUAUCUCAUUGAUGCAUAUAGAACCAACAGGUUAAUACAUUGAUACAUAAUCUGAUUUGCAGAGGUAGUACAAGUGAACCAGUCAAAGAAAAAAAGAAAUCAUUUCAACUAAAAAGUUGCUUAGCUAAGUAAGCCAAUAUUUUCUCAUGCGUAGCCUUGCUAGCUUCAUCAUAACUCGUAGUGUCUUUAUCUACCAGCAUCAAAUACUUGUCCAUUAUCUGUAACUUUGUCUUCUUCUCCUCAGUAUCUGCCAUCUUAUUUUUAGCUUCAGCUUAUGUUUGUGCAGCUUGUGCCUUGGUAAGUGUUGCUUCGGCCAUUUUCUCAGCAGCAAUAGCUUUCCUCAGCUGAAGUUUAUUGAACAGGUUUAUAUUUUCAUUUGAAAUGGUGUCUUCUGAAUGUACUGACUUGCCUUUUGCCUUUUGUUGUGCUUUCAAUGCAUUUCUCCCUGGUGGUCGUUGCCUUGCUGCAGGGUUUGCAUCUUCACUGUCUUGAUUUGAAGAACUAUAAGCUCCUGAUGCAUUCAGCUUAUCUCUUGUUGACCAUUUCUUCAAUUGGGUGCAUGCAAGUUGUACUCUGCUGCAACAUCCUUCCAGUACCUAUCUCCCCUUCUAUCAACUCCUUUAAUUGGAUCAUUGGAACACUUCAACCAAGAACUAGCUAACCGAAGUGUUAGUAGGAUCUACCUGGUGAAGAUGUUGUUGGGACACCGGAGAAGCUGAACCAACCGGGCUACUCUCAUCAGCUCGCGAAUCACUGCCUCUACUACCUUGGAAGAAAGCCAUGGAUCCAACUGGUGAUGCUUGGCUGCCUCCUUGUGUCUGUUGACUCAAGCCCUGGUGAGGACCUUGAUAGCUUCCUUGUACGAAUGGGUAUUGUGGGUAGCUGCUGCUGGAUUGACCUCCAAAACGACUGCAUGUGUGGAUACUGAGGGUUGAAAUUGGGAGGAAAUUGUGUUGGUGGAUAGUUCAUUGGGUAUUGGGUUGCAGGGAAAUGAUAUUGUUGACUAGGUGGAUUUUGUGGAUCACCACUUGUGAUUGCAGCGUUCAGUAAAUUUGUCAAAGAUGAAGAAGUGUUCUCCAUGGCUACAAUAGUAAAUCAACAAGUGUGUAUAUUCAUGUUACUGGCACCCGUGUAUAUAUAGAGCACAUGGCCUCGAUGAGCCAACGGUAACAUUUUGUUUGUGACCGUUGAAAUUUGGACGUUGGGUUGGCUGUGUGAGAGUGAAAUCAGAUUUCAACUACCUGCACUCUGCUACAGUACUUUUAUUAUUGUUUAUGAAGAUGGCAUCUAUGCAA